Molecule: transfer RNA, 72 nt
Filed under: Ovis aries (sheep)
Lineage: Eukaryota; Metazoa; Chordata; Mammalia; Artiodactyla; Bovidae
Rfam family: tRNA
About the family: Transfer RNA (tRNA) molecules are approximately 80 nucleotides in length. Their secondary structure includes four short double-helical elements and three loops (D, anti-codon, and T loops).
Source: Rfam by way of RNAcentral
UCCCAGGUGGCUCAGACGGUAAAGCGUCUGCCCGCAAUGCAGGAGACCUGGGUUCAAUCCCUGGGUUGGGAA